Non-coding RNA from Monodelphis domestica (gray short-tailed opossum), 2373 nucleotides. NCBI's taxonomy places the organism in Eukaryota, Metazoa, Chordata, Mammalia, Didelphimorphia, Didelphidae. The record is from RefSeq and is a predicted model, not a curated record.
GAUUCUCUAUCAUCAGGCCUGUGGCCCGAGCUGAGGCCUAUAGGUUCUUUAUCUGUAAAUUGAGGGGUUUGGCUGAAAGACCUUUUUAAGUCCUUUCCAGUUCUAAAUCCAGGACCCCAAGGCUCAGCCCAGCAGUGUGUGGUCUACAUUCUGGCUUUGGCCUCCUGGUGAUUAGCCCCCAAGCCCUGAUGUGGUGUAAAAAUAAAAAGGCCCAGAGACAACCGUUCCCUGCCUCGUGUUCCCUCUUGUCCCAGAGAAGGUGUAACCUUAGGGCUAGUUCAGACUCUAGGCAAGGCCCAAACUUCCCAGAAGCCUCUUCUCUUCUCACAGGAACUAUUUUCUUCUACAACCAGACGCCAUCUUCCUGGGCUGGCUCCCCUGGAAACUCAGAGUGGGAGGGCCAGGCCUGAAAUCCUGUUCUCUGGGGUGAGGCCACCAGUCAGGGUUCCUGCCAAAUGCUAGGAUGAGCCGUCGCCCCUGGGCCUCUACUGUCCUGCCUGAUUUCCCUCCAUCUCCAGUGUGGCCUGUUUCCUGAUCCUGGUCCCUGCUUCUGAAAUCGGGGCCUGGUGUGGCCCCCUCAGCCUCAGAGGUCAUCAGGCCAAGCUGCCUCCCUGCCAGCUGUCUGGUCAGAGCCCUGAGCUUUCCAUGGUGGUACCACGGUACUCCAUUGCGGUUGCAGCCUUUGCCCUGGGAUCCCAGUCAACUGGAUUCUUCCCGUGGACCUCAGCACAUUUCUGGAGUUAUUACCUCAUGAUGACCCAAUGAUAGAUAGCUGCUUUCUACUGCAAAAUGAUUUAAGAUGCCCAUUUUGUGGAUAAAGAAAUCGAGGCUCAGAGGCUUGCCCAACUAGUAUGUCACAAAGCUGGAACUUGAAUCGAGGUUUUCUGAAUGCAAGAAGGUUUAUCUAACAUCUACUAUAAAGGAUCAUAGCAACAUUGAUUUCAAGCCAGAAGAGUCCUCAGUCAUCAUCUAAUUCAAUUCCUUCAUUUUACAGAUGAGGAAAUUGAGGCAUACAAGUAACUCGCUAACAGUAUAUAAGUAGUAAAUGGUGGAGGUGAUAUUUGAACAGUUCUUCUGACAAUUCUCUCUAACAGCUCGGGGCUAUUCUGGGCUGUCAAUGGAAGGGCAAAGUCAGCAUCCUUAGGAAAAGACAAGCAGCUCGAGAGACCCGAGAACUAUAGAUGUAUCAUCACCAGGGAUCUGAGGAGUCCGUUAUCCUUUGGGCUUUAUCAGUGGGUUUCUGGAUGGAGUUUGGGAAUACUAGAGAAGCAGGCAAAUGAAUGAAAAGCAGAAUGUUCUUGGCCAAUCAACGCACCUCUAGUUGGUCUGUAUCUUUGUCUGACGUAUCUGAUUUUAAAUUAACUGUGGAUUUCUCAGGGCCAAGACUGGCUGAAGAGUCUCUUUCGGAAGAAAGGGUUUUCUUUUCCUUUGAGGAGAGAAAAGAAAAAGCCAAUAAUAACAUGAGCCACAAACUCAGCUAAAAAGAGGUUCCUUUUGCCCCCCAGUGACCUAGAAAAUGCCAAACGAACUUUAUAUAUGUUCUAUUGUACUGCUGCCCAUGGAAGGGCAAAUCAUCACCCACUAUAUGCAGCUUGAGAGACCCAAGAACUAGAGAUGCUGCCGUCUCGGAGGCUCGGUUCAGGGAACUUCUGGAUGAAGUUUGGAGGUAUUAGAGAAGCAGGCAAAUGAAUGGAAAACAGAUUCUUGGCAAAUCAACGUACCUCUAAUGUGUCUGUAUUGCUGUCUGUGAUAUCUAGCUUUUUAGUUGUGGAUCCCUUAGAGUCAAGACUGGUGGAAGAGACUGUUCGGGAGAAAAUGGUUUUCUUUACCUUUGAAGACAGAAAAGCAAAAGCCAAUAACAUUAGCCACAAACUCAGCUAGAAAGGGAUUCCUUCUGCCCCACAGUGACCUAGAAAACCCCAACUGAACAUUGUAUAUGCGGUCAAUGGAAGGGCAAAAUAAUCGACAUUCUGGGGAAAACCCAAGCAGCUUGAGAGACCCUAACACUAUGGAUUCUGCCAUCUCCAAAUGGGCCCAGGCUCGGGAUCUGAGGAGUUUAUCAAUGAAUUCUUAGAUGGGGUUUGGAGUUAUUACAGAGCAUAUGAAUGAAUUAAAAAUGGAAGAGUUGGCAAACCAACACACCUCUGAGUUGUCUGCAUCUUUGCUUAUUAAAUCUAAUUGUAAAUUAAUUUUUAAUUUCUCACGGCUAAGACCAGCUAUAAAGCUUCUGGAGGCCCCUCUACUACCGUGUUUCUCAUCCUUUGAAGAGAGAAAAGAAAAAAAGUCAAUAACAUUAGCAACAUACAUGGAUGGGGUUUCAGGAUGUUAAAAGUAAGUGAAUGAAUUAAAAAUAGAAGAGUAUUGGCAAACCAA